RNAcentral lists this long non-coding RNA (1010 nucleotides) under Homo sapiens (human). RNAcentral's name for it is "HSALNT0219813". Lineage: Eukaryota; Metazoa; Chordata; Mammalia; Primates; Hominidae. The record is from RNAcentral.
CUCUUUUCUUCUUUAUUAGUCUUGCUAGUGGUCUAUCAAUUUUGUUGAUCUUUUCAAAAAACCAGCUCCUGGAUUCAUUAAUUUUUUGAAGGGUUUUUUUGUGUCUGUAAUUAUUUUUAAUUUGGGCUUCACUUCCCAGUCCAGUGAGAUGUGCUCUGCUACUUUCAUACUUUCUUAACCCUAUUAAUGUAGCCACAAAUUGUAGCUCUUUGGAUAUAUAAUUUAUUGCUGAACAUUCAAGUUUAAAGUUUUAAAAAUUUUCCUUGACCAGGGAUUGUGCAGCAUUGAUCAUAAUCAGCAUGAUCAUUAUUUGCAGUAGUUAAUACAUAGAAAACACUCUUUUUUUUGUUGAGUCAAUGAAUGCAUGUAUGAAUCAGAAGAAACAAAAUAGUAGUUUCUAUAUCUGCUAAGAAAGCAAAAUAAUGUAACAUACUAUCACUAUACUCAGCAUCUGAGUUUAUGUUUUAGUUUAUUUUGAUCAGUAAUACUACAUUAAUUACCUAGGAGUAAUAAGAAAAAAAGCUUGCUUAAUAUUUAAAUGUCAUGUUAAUGCAAAUGAAAGCCAAAUGCCCUCAUGCCAUAUAAUAAAAGGGUCAGUUUUGCAUUAGUUCAAAUAAAAAAGAGUGAUUGAGAAUUGAGUCACCACAAGGAACACAGUGGGUUGGGCAUGAUAAACUCAGCAGAAUCUCUAUCGUAGUAGCCAAUAUCAUUAUCUGGGUUUUGAGUGGAGAUCAACAAAAUAGUAUCAUCUAUCACACAAAUUUGUUGAUUUGAAUUUUACUGGUUCAUUGUUUAUUUUAUAAAUUUCUUCGUGGUUUUAAUUGUACAAGAGCUGAUAAGUAUAAGAAUUUAUAUUUAAGUGCAUAGUUUUUACCUGUGUGUAAGUAUUUAACAUAUUAAAAUAAUUUUGGAGAGUUCAUGAGACUUGUUUUCCUUUAAAAAGAAACCACGUCUUACUCAAACUUGCAUAAGCACCACACAACCCAAGUACUUUCUCAGUAGAACUCCAU